Molecule: non-coding RNA, 400 nt
Organism: Rhinichthys klamathensis goyatoka
Lineage: Eukaryota; Metazoa; Chordata; Actinopteri; Cypriniformes; Leuciscidae
Source: the annotation of a RefSeq genome assembly
CUUCAUCAACAUGACCUUCAUCAUCAUCUUCAUCUGGACUCUCACAGCGUUUGCUCAAGAGUGUAGAGGACAGAUCACCGUCACUCAGAGUCCCUCAAUAACAGCAGAACAACCAGGAAAAACUGUGAAAAUCAAUUGUAAACCCAGCAGUAAUGUACUCAGAUAUAGAUCUGGGAAUGAAGGUUUAUCCUGGUACUUACAGAAACCUGGAGAAGCUCCUAAACUCCUGGUUUAUUUUGUUAACACCCUCCAGUCAGGAACUCCAUCUAGAUUCAGUGGCAGUCGAUCAUCAGGGAGAGAUUUCACUCUGACCAUCAGUGGAGUCCAGACUGAAGAUGCUGGACAUUAUUACUGUCAAUGUCACCACCACAUCAUCAGUACCAAUAUAUUCACACAGUGA